Molecule: non-coding RNA, 115 nt
Organism: Triticum aestivum (bread wheat)
Lineage: Eukaryota; Viridiplantae; Streptophyta; Magnoliopsida; Poales; Poaceae
Source: Rfam
CAUCUACUCCCUUCCUUCCGAAUUACUUGUCGUAAAAAUGGAUGUAUCUAGAACUAAAAAAUGUCUAGAUACAUCUAUUUCUACGACAAAUAAUUCCGAACAGAGGGAGUACUCC